Xiphophorus hellerii (green swordtail) is the source of this 1250-nucleotide long non-coding RNA. RefSeq lists it as uncharacterized. NCBI's taxonomy places the organism in Eukaryota, Metazoa, Chordata, Actinopteri, Cyprinodontiformes, Poeciliidae. The transcript is spliced from 2 exons. The record is from RefSeq and is a predicted model, not a curated record.
ACUCAUAUAUGGGACGCUCCUCUCUGUCUUCUCUUUGCCAUCAGUGAUGUUCAGGCUGUGCACAGGUGGAGGUGAGCGCUCCUGCUGCAGCCGCAUGAAGGGAGCAACUUGCUUCGGAUCUAUGGGACAAAUUUUUACAGCUUUAGGGGGAAAAGAUUUGUGGUUUUGUUUUCAAAAAGGAUGAAGUAGCUGAAAUAUUUUAAUUCUCCACCUUUUUUUUCCCAUCACGGAUAUCGAGCUAACACAGCUGCAAGAUCUUCCAUGUUGAUGAGCCUCUUCUGGAGAGGGAUAUGGAAACGUCCCGCUAAUGAAGCUCUGUAUUCCAGCUCCGCAUGACAAUGAGUCAGUCAUAAAGAGCUGCAUUGUUUCAUAAAGGUGUGAAGAGGAUAUAACAGUGUUGUCUCAGACCCUCUGGAUUAAUGUUUGUGCCUCAGUUACUCCUCUCUUUCUGCUGCUGCUGCUCGUCUGAGACCUGAUACAAAUUCAAAAGGAUCUGCUGCUUUGAAGAUAAGCGCCGCAGUUCUGCCAUAAACAAUGAUUGUGCUGUUUCUUUCCUGUGGCGUGAUUUAUUUAAAGUAUUAUGCUGUAAGGAUUUGGGCUGGUUUUUCCUGGCGGGGCCGACUGUGUGUGUGUGUGUGUGUGUGUGUGUGCGUUAUUGGUGUGUGGGUGUGUGUGUGUGUGUGUGUAUCCUCAACCUGUGAAGCUUAUUGGAUAGUUUGGACUCAGGAAAACACUUAGGGAACCACAAGCAGAGUCAUCAAAGUGAGACCUUUGACUCAGACGGUCUGAUAUUUACCAUUUCCCAUAGUACAAACUGUCUUAUGUAAUGUAACUCACUUUGGAGAUCUUGAUUUAAUUUAAAAGAGGCAUAUAUAAGGAUUAAAACGCCCAGAAAUUACAGCCCCCAAAUACAGACUAUGUAGAGUUCUCAAGAUCCGGUAUCCUGCAACUUUUAGAUGCAUUUUGCUUCAAAAAAUCUCAGUCAAAUAAAGACAUCAAAGGCAAGUAAUUUGGCCAGGUGACUCAUGUUGGACCAAGGACACUGGGUCUGGAGUGGAAUACCACUGAUGUAGAGAAAAAGUAGCUCAGACUCAGUCAGACUGGAUGUAAAGCAUCUGUGAAAAACUCUCAAUUGGAUUUUGAUCCAGAUUUUGACUGGGUGAAUCAGCCUCACAACUAUGUUUUAAUCCAAAUCAUUCCAUGACUAUAUAUAAAGUUGUAAAAUAAAGUAUUUUUGAAUUUGUCCUCUC